Elaeis guineensis (African oil palm) is the source of this 3574-nucleotide non-coding RNA. The record is from RefSeq and is a predicted model, not a curated record. NCBI's taxonomy places the organism in Eukaryota, Viridiplantae, Streptophyta, Magnoliopsida, Arecales, Arecaceae.
UAGAAAUUCACUAUGACAUUAACUACAAAAACAUUUACUUAAGUUUCCUUGGUCACUCAAACUCCAUCACAAGAGAAGAGGAUAUUGAAAAAUAAAAUAAAAGAGAGCACCAAAUAAAAGCAGCUACCACACAAGUCUCCUUAAUUUUUCUUGAUUACUCAAAUUCUAUUACGAGAAAAGAAUAUGUUAAAAAAAUAGAAACCUAUUUACCAAAAAAAAUAGAAACCCAAAUACAUGAUAGGUAAACAAAAAUAAUAAUAUUAAUAAUAAAUCUUUCGUCCGGUCUUGUUGUUGCUUGCCGAGUGAACUCCGUGUCCUCCGCCCCAUGAUUCUUUCAUCAGAACCUGCGUCCACGGUGAUCUGCUCCUCGGCACCUUCCGUCCCACCUGUUCUCGGCGAUCACCUCCCGCGUUCGUUAUCCACCUCCUCUCAUGGUCUCCUGUCUCCUCUAUCCGUCCUCUCCCCUCUCUUUUCUUCCUCUCCUCCGCCCCACGGAGGACUUCGAUCCCGUGGAAGGAGCCCGGUGGGAGACCCUGAGCGAGGCUCUGCCCAAGAAAUUGUGAGAUCUUUAGGUGCGGGUGGUAUGGGACGAGCCUACGACCAUGGCGAUGGACACCUCGGUCGGACCCCCUCCGGCGGGCUCCGGCCGUGUCGGUGCCCGGAUUUUGACGGCAUUAGGGUUGUUCUAGCUUCUGGAUUUCGGGUCGAGCUCGGAGUGGGGUUCGGGGAUUUGGGUUCUCGGGAUCUGCUUCCAAGCCCUACCUUGCUUUUAUAGGCAAUUUCUUGGACGAUGAAUUUAAUUCCGAAGGUUCGGGACAGUCGCGCGUUCCUGCUGAUAAACAUGCUCUUGUGCAUGCAUUGAAUGGUGAAGUUUCGAGAUGGCCACGCGUUCUUUGCAUCCCCCGAGAUAUCCCAUGCUCCAGCUGUCAGAAAGCGAGUCAUUUUCGAACAUCUGGUACCGGGUAGAUCUCUCUAAAAUUUGGAUAUAUAUCAGUUUAAUGUGGCAGAAUCUCUUGGAUUUCCUUUGGAUAUGUUUUCUGGAUUCUAGAUAUAGUAUGUAUAUUGUAGAAAGGAUAUGGUGAUUUUUAAGGUUAUCUUUGUGAUUUUUUAACAUGGUAUGUGCUGGUAGCGGUAGAUGAAAUGGCUUGUGGUUCUUAGUCAAGCUAUUUAGUAGUGUUUUUUAAUGAUUUUAUUACCAAGUGACCGAUCAACCCAUGGAAAGGUUAUCAAUCACUUUUGUAUGCUCAUUUGCUUGCAAGUAUAUCAACUAUUUUAUUAUUACUCUAUAUGUACCAUUAUGAGUAGUAAAACGAUUUAUGAGAGCUUUAGUUUUCCUAAAAUAAUCAUGUGCCUCUUAUUGUCAUAGCAAUUGUUAUAAUAACUGGAUAGAUCAUAUUAGGCUUCCAUGUAUUGCCAUUAUUUGAAGAAAUAAGCGAAACAUUGUUUGGGAAAGAGGAUUGCUUUUGGGUCCAUGGUUCAUUAACUUCGAGGGAGUAAGCCUCACUUCCAUGGUAGAAGAAUUAUAGAAGAGAGUUAAUUAGAUGAUUUCAUUGAAAACUUCAAGUAAUGGUGUUCUCUAACUAUUUUAUUGUUUAAGUGCUUGAUCAAUCCAAACAAAAGUUUCAGGUAGUUCCAUAUACUCAUUUGCUUGCAAGAAUAUGAACUGUUAUUGUUAUUAUGGUAAUGUGUGGCACCAUGACAAGUACAAUGAUUUAUAGGAGUUUACCCUUUUUCUAAACUAAUCUUGUGCCUCAUAAGUUGAAGUAAUUGUUGAAAUAACUGCACAGGACUUAUCAGGCCUCCUAUACAUUUCCGUUGUCUAAGAUAAUAAGCAAAAUAUAAUUUGGGAAAGGUUUAUUAUAUCAUUAAGUACUUUCAGUUCCAUAUAUCAAAAAUGAAUGGCACCAUCCUUUCAGUUCCACCUAUCUCUAUCAUUGUCACUGUUUCCUAUUUUUUGGUGGUAGAAUCGUACUCGCAUAUCUUCUCUCCGUGAUGGUUGCUUUAAUAAAGAUCCAUUCUUCAAGAUGUAUUUGAUGUUUAUUAUAAGAAACAGAAAUCCCCGUGAUCAUGACCCUGAGAAUUAACUAUCAGCAUCACAUGAGUGCAAUCCAACUACUUCAACUUUGCAACUUCAUUACUUUCUUCACGUGCAUUUAGUUUCGACCUACCAUCAUGUAGCAGUUGAUAAUGUUAGCAAAACUAUGAAGAAGACCUAUUUGUCAUUUUGGAAGCUAUGCUAUGAUAUGCUGAAGUACAAUACAUUACACCAUAUUAUUAAGUACAAUAUGUUUUAGAACAUGAACUUCACAUUCCUUAGCUGGGACCAUAAAAGAUUGAGCUUUCUGAAUAUCAAUGCCACAGACUGUCUUCCUUGGCAUGUGUUCAGCCUGUGACGUGUUUUCUUUCCUCCUACAUGAUGUCAUCCUGCAUAGUUUGAGAACUCACAUUCCCUUCCCUGGUGUCUUCAAUAUAGGCCUUGCUUUCGUAAUUGCCAUAUUUUAAUAUUUUUUAACAUCUAACGAUUAUCCCGAGCUUUAAUUCUUUGAGUAGUCAUCUUGUAUUUGCCUGCUCAAAUAGUUCCAUGUCUCUGUUGUAUCUGAAUCCCAUCAAUUUUCGCAUCAACCAACAAUGUUGUGGAGAAACCACCUGUGAGACUAAAUACGGGAUGCACUGCUAAAGCUUCUUCAGCAGUAAUCUACUGUUGGAGUCCAAAAUAUAAAUACAUCUAUCCUACUAGAAGCCUUUAACCAUCAAAGAAUGCUUGGUGACAACAUAGAAUAUUUGUUUGGAUAUCUAUAAGUAGUGCUUAUGAAUUUUAAAGUAGUUUUGGUGGCCCCAACUUUUUUUAUCUUCUGGUACUUAAGGAGCAAUCUGUUUGGAUUUUUCUAUAGUCAUAAGUGCCAACAGCAUUUGAGCUUUUUGAGAUAGCGUGAUGUGCUUGCAUGGUGUGCAGAUAUUUCAUUAUUUGGUCAAUCCCUCUCAAGAUUCAUUGCAAAGUUUGCUUAAGGGUUAUCAUAGAGUAUCAGAGAGAUUUUGGAUGGAGGACUUCUGUUCAUCAGUCCAACAUCUAGUCAAGCUCCAUGAAGAGUAGCUGCAGAUGGACCCAGUUGUUGGAGUAGAUAAGAGAGGUUGCUUUGAUUGCAACAAGAUCGGUUGCUGUUUGAUGUUUAAGAUUGGAAACACUGUUUCUUCCUGGUGGUCCUGGUCUACUACUUGUGAGUGGCAACCUUGGCAACCAUAGAGAAGACCAGAGAUCAGUGAUCAAAGUGAUCAGCUGGCUCUUUGCUACUCCCAGUUCCAUGCAUGGCAGUCUCAUGGAUCAUUCCAUCUUUUCAUGCCUUGGUGGCUUUGAGGCCAUCAUGAUUGUGGUUUGAUGUCCCCUAUACAAGCCUUAUUUAGCUUGGACGUCACGUGGUUCAUGUUAGUUAUUUGGGUUUGAACGACAGGAAUAGGACGAAUUUGUGAUUUCCAGAAAUGGAAUUGGUCACCCAUUUCUCUUGUUCCGAUUCCCUUGUUAUCACGACAGAGAUGCAUUAUAUGUUUAUCUUUAUGGAUGCCGUCGAGCUUAUUAUUA